GACGAACGCUGGCGGCGUGCUUAACACAUGCAAGUCGAACGGAAAGGCCUCUUUCGGGGGGUACUCGAGUGGCGAACGGGUGAGUAACACGUGAGUAACCUGCCCUUGACUUUGGGUUAACUUCAUGAAACUGGGGCUAAUACCUGAUAGGAGCUCCUUCUGCAUGGUGGGGGUUAGAGAGUUUCGGCGGUUGGGGAUGGCCUCGCGGCUGAUCAGCUAGUUGGUGGGGUGAUGGCUUGCCAAGGCGUUGACGGGUAGCCGGUCCGAGAGGGUGACGGGCCACACGGGAGCUGGGACGCGGUCCAGAGUCCUACGGGAGGCCGCAGUAGGGAAUGGUCCGCAAUGGGCGAAAGCCUGACGGAGCGGCGCCGCGUGAGUGAUGAAGGGCGUCGGAUGGUAAAACUCUGUUAGUGGGGAAAAACAAAUGUGUAAGUAACUAUGCUCGUCUUGACGGUAGCGAAUAAGAAAGCCACGGCUAACUACGUG
RNAcentral lists this ribosomal RNA (486 nucleotides) under uncultured bacterium. RNAcentral's name for it is "partial 16S ribosomal RNA". It matches the Rfam family "Bacterial small subunit ribosomal RNA", at positions 28 to 507 of the family's 1533-position model. The record is from RNAcentral.